UCAAAACAGCGGACUUCGGUCUUUGCUGCACCCUUGUCUUUUGCGCACCGAAUUGUUUCCUCGGCGGGCUUGCCUGCCGGUUGGACAUUAUCAAAACCUUUUUGUAGUUGCAAUCAGCGUCAGAAAAAUCAUAAUUAUUA
This 140-nucleotide unclassified non-coding RNA is filed under the name soil metagenome. RNAcentral describes it as "partial internal transcribed spacer 1". The record is from RNAcentral.